Molecule: ribosomal RNA, 509 nt
Filed under: uncultured bacterium
Lineage: Bacteria
Description: partial 16S ribosomal RNA
Rfam family: Bacterial small subunit ribosomal RNA
Source: RNAcentral
ACGAACGCUGGCGGCGUGCUUAACCCAUGCAAGUCGAACGAAGAGCGAUGGAAGCUUGCUUCUAUCAAUCUUAGUGGCGAACGGGUGAGUAACGCGUAAUCAACCUGCCCUUCAGAGGGGGACAACGGUUGGAAACGACUGCUAAUACCGCAUACGAUCUAAUCUCGGCAUCGAGGAUAGAUGAAAGGUGGCCUCUACAUGUAAGCUAUCACUGAAGGAGGGGAUUGCGUCUGAUUAGCUAGUUGGAGGGGUAACGGCCCACCAAGGCGAUGAUCAGUAGCCGGUCUGAGAGGAUGAACGGCCACAUUGGGACUGAGACACGGCCCAGACUCCUACGGGAGGCAGCAGUGGGGAAUCUUCCGCAAUGGACGAAAGUCUGACGGAGCAACGCCGCGUGAGCGAUGACGGCCUUCGGGUUGUAAAGCUCUGUUAAUCGGGACGAAAGGCCUUCUUGCGAAUAGUGAGAAGGAUUGACGGUACCGGAAUAGAAAGCCACGGCUAACUACGUG